CCCCUGAAGAAUUCCAAGCUCAAAACACUUUACCCCUGAAGAAUUCCAAGCUCAAAACCCUUUACCCCUGAAGAAUUCCAGGGAUCCUCGACAGGGGGGGUACGGAUAUUAAAUGGAAUAGCCCAAUGGCAUCAUAGCGAACACAUUUUAAUGAUGCUCAAAUAUAUAUUUAGUGCGCUAUUUUCUUUAAAAUAUGACCCUGUUUGCUUUCUAAAUACAACAAAAUUACUGCUUUACCUUCUGUUCAAAUAGUUCCAC
This is a non-coding RNA of Paramuricea clavata, 258 nucleotides long. The record is from the annotation of a GenBank genome assembly. Lineage: Eukaryota; Metazoa; Cnidaria; Anthozoa; Malacalcyonacea; Plexauridae.